CAGCCUGAAACAGUCGAUUAUACAAUUGUUAGUCGAGUUAAAACACCAAGCUACAGUUAUUAAGGAAAAUACUAACAAAACUCAGGUUUGAAUAAGAUUGACGCUGAAUCGAUUUUUAUAAGACCUAUGAAUAUUGAGAUAAUUAGGAAUCUAAUUUGGAAUUUAUUAAGAGUUUAGGUCAUGCGUUUGACCUCUUGAAAAUGAAGGAAAAUUUAUUUUUGAUUUUUUGGACUAUUGAUUUAGGUGGAAUAUCGAUGAUACUUACCAA
Molecule: long non-coding RNA, 268 nt
Organism: Tetranychus urticae (two-spotted spider mite)
Lineage: Eukaryota; Metazoa; Arthropoda; Arachnida; Trombidiformes; Tetranychidae
Source: RefSeq, a predicted model, not a curated record